AUUGAACGCUGGCGGCAUGCCUUACACAUGCAAGUCGAACGGCAGCACGGGAGCAAUCCUGGUGGCGAGUGGCGAACGGGUGAGUAAUAUAUCGGAACGUGCCCGGUCGUGGGGAUAACGUAGCGAAAGCUACGCUAAUACCGCAUACGAUCUACGGAUGAAAGCGGGGGAUCGCAAGACCUCGCGCGAUUGGAGCGGCCGAUAUCAGAUUAGGUAGUUGGUGAGGUAAAGGCUCACCAAGCCGACGAUCUGUAGCUGGUCUGAGAGGACGACCAGCCACACUGGGACUGAGACACGGCCCAGACUCCUACGGGAGCAGCAGUGGGAAUUUUGGACAAUGGGCGCAAGCCUGAUCCAGCAAUGCCGCGUGCAGGAUGAAGGCC
Molecule: ribosomal RNA, 383 nt
Filed under: uncultured bacterium
Lineage: Bacteria
Description: bacterial SSU rRNA
Rfam family: Bacterial small subunit ribosomal RNA
Source: RNAcentral